RNAcentral lists this ribosomal RNA (794 nucleotides) under uncultured bacterium. RNAcentral describes it as "bacterial SSU rRNA". It matches the Rfam family "Bacterial small subunit ribosomal RNA", at positions 8 to 796 of the family's 1533-position model. The record is from RNAcentral.
AGAGUUUGAUCAUGGCUCAGGAUGAACGCUAGCGGCAGGCUUAAUACAUGCAAGUCGAGGGGCAGCGCAGUGUAGCAAUACAUGGGCGGCGACCGGCAAACGGGUGCGGAACACGUACACAACCUUCCUUUAAGCGGGGAAUAGCCCGGGGAAACCCGGAUUAAUACCCCCAUAGUAUAUUGAAGAGGCAUCUCUUUAUUAUUAAAGAUUUAUCACUUGAAGAUGGGUGUGCGGCUGAUUAGCUAGUUGGCGGGGUAAUGGCCCACCAAGGCAACGAUCAGUAACUGGUGUGAGAGCACGACCAGUCACACGGGCACUGAGACACGGGCCCGACUCCUACGGGAGGCAGCAGUAAGGAAUAUUGGUCAAUGGACGCAAGUCUGAACCAGCCAUGCCGCGUGGAGGAUGAAGGUCCUCUGGAUUGUAAACUUCUUUUAUCUGGGACGAAAAAAGGUUUUUCUAGACCGACUGACGGUACCAGAUGAAUAAGCACCGGCUAACUCCGUGCCAGCAGCCGCGGUAAUACGGAGGGUGCAAGCGUUAUCCGGAUUCACUGGGUUUAAAGGGUGCGUAGGUGGAUUAGUAAGUCAGUGGUGAAAUCUCCGGGCUUAACCCGGAAACUGCCAUUGAUACUAUUAGUCUUGAAUACCGUGGAGGUCAGCGGAAUAUCAUGUAGCGGUGAAAUGCUUAGAUAUGACAUAGAACACCAAUUGCGAAGGCAGCUGGCUACACGAAUAUUGACACUCAGGCACGAAAGCGUGGGGAUCAAACAGGAUUAGAUACCCUAGUAGUCC